Microcebus murinus (gray mouse lemur) is the source of this 1075-nucleotide long non-coding RNA. RefSeq lists it as uncharacterized. NCBI's taxonomy places the organism in Eukaryota, Metazoa, Chordata, Mammalia, Primates, Cheirogaleidae. The record is from RefSeq and is a predicted model, not a curated record.
AAUCACAAACCCUUUUCUGUAGUUUUUAAGUUCUUGUGGGGCAAUGUUAUAUCCUGUCCCUUUUUCCCUCACAGGACUUUCUUUGAGCGUCAGAGUCCCAAGACAGAGGCCUCGGAAAGUUUCAGACUGCUAGAAUGGAAGAUUUCACCUUCAGUGACGUGCAUAUUAAACUAGGCUUUCCUUACACUGGCACCAGGGAGACUGUGAGCAUGUUGUCGUUAUUACUGACAUAAGUGUAGGGGCAGGUUGCUGUCAACAGUGUCAUUCAAGGCUGAAGGAUAAGAACAUGGUCUUUAAACUCAAGGCAAUUUCUUGAUGAAGUGGUCAACAAAAGAAACAAUGAUCUGUUUCAAUGCUAAAGAGAAAAAGCAAUUGGCAAUUAUUAAGAGUUUGUUGGACACGAGCUUAUGCGUACUGAUGACUGCUUGGAUAGGGCACUUUAUAUCAAGAAGCACUGGCUGUGGACCAGAAAAUGCUCCGUUUGUAAAAUGUACACAGCUAGAGUGUUUUUUACUAAUGAUAGCAUUCAGUUAAUGAUACAUCAAGUGGUAGAAGUGUUUUGGAAAUCUUUGAAGAAUGUGAGAACUACACCAUCUAUCAUGAGGCUUCUAAGGUUAUAUUUAAAUUCACCUAAGUUUCACAUCUAGAUGGCUAAGAACAGACAUCAUUUACCAUGUAAAUAAGCAACAAUGAAUCCUGUAGGACUAUGCAUUUAAAAGAUUCACAGUGAAGUUAUGUCUUAUGGACUUGAAAUGCUACAUGUCAGUUUAGUCGAUUGGUUUGGAGAUGACAAGCACCCAUUCCUGGUAUGUCUACCAUGGUUCUCAUUCUGUUAGUACACGGAGGAUCACUAUAGAGAAUUAAGAGACUACUCCAUGGCUGACUUAUAACAUUCCUAUGUUUUUAUUUUCCUGUAUUGAAGAGUGCUAAAAUUGAGCAGAUCGAAAAUUCCACUGGAAAACCACAGACUUAAGAUAAAUAAGUGAUAUAUCCAAUUUCUAUAAUUCCACAGGUAAAAUGUAUUUUUGAUUCCUUUUUCUUUUUUUCCCAGAGAAGGGGUCUUGCUAUGUUGUCC